RNAcentral lists this microRNA (24 nucleotides) under Sus scrofa (pig). RNAcentral describes it as "ssc-mir210". The record is from RNAcentral. Lineage: Eukaryota; Metazoa; Chordata; Mammalia; Artiodactyla; Suidae.
AGACCGGGGACCGGAGCGAGCAGA